RNAcentral lists this unclassified non-coding RNA (331 nucleotides) under soil metagenome. RNAcentral describes it as "partial contains 5.8S ribosomal RNA, internal transcribed spacer 2, and large subunit ribosomal RNA". The stretch from base 1 to 120 matches the Rfam family "5.8S ribosomal RNA", at positions 35 to 154 of the family's 154-position model. The record is from RNAcentral.
GAUGAAGAACGUAGCGAAAUGCGAUAAGUAAUGUGAAUUGCGGAAUUCAGUGAAUCAUCGAAUCUUUGAACGCACAUUGCGCCCCCUGGUAUUCCGGGGGGCAUGCCUGUUCGAGCGUCAUUUCACCACUCAAGCCUCGCUUGGUAUUGGGCAUCGCGGUCCGCCGCGCGCCUCAAAUCGACCGGCUGGGUCUUCUGUCCCCUAAGCGUUGUGGAAACUAUUCGCUAAAGGGUGUUCGGGAGGCUACGCCGUAAAACAACCCCAUUUCUAAGGUUGACCUCGGAUCAGGUAGGGAUACCCGCUGAACUUAAGCAUAUCAAUAAGCGGAGGA